This 445-nucleotide ribosomal RNA is filed under the name uncultured bacterium. Its description in RNAcentral is "bacterial SSU rRNA". It matches the Rfam family "Bacterial small subunit ribosomal RNA", at positions 957 to 1391 of the family's 1533-position model. The record is from RNAcentral.
GAACGCGAAGAACCGUUACGCNGGGUCCCNGACAUGUACGGAAUCCUCCAGAGACCGGAGGAGGCGCCUUCGGGAGCCGGAACACAGGUGCNGGNAUGGCUGUCGUCAGCUCGUGUCGUGAGAUGUUGGGUUAAGUCCCGCAACGAGCGCAACCCGGGGUGCAGNUAGGUGGCCAUCAUGUCAGNUGGGCACUCUAAUGAGACUGCCGGUGACAAGCCGGAGGAAGGUGGGGAUGACGUCAAGUCCUCANGGCCCUUAUGACCAGGGCUUCACACGUCAUACAAUGGUCGGUACAGAGGGUAGCCAAGCCGCGAGGUGGAGCCAAUCUCACAAAACCGAUCGUAGUCCGGAUUGCACUCUGCAACUCGAGUGCAUGAAGUCGGAAUCGCUAGUAAUCGCAGGUCAGCAUACUGCGGUGAAUACGUUCCCGGGUCUUGUACACACC